AGCGAACGCUGGCGGCAGGCCUAACACAUGCAAGUCGAACGGAUCCUUCGGGAUUAGUGGCGGACGGGUGAGUAACACGUGGGAACGUGCCCUUUGGUUCGGAACAACUAAGGGAAACUUGAGCUAAUACCGGAUGUGCCCUUCGGGGGAAAGAUUUAUCGCCAUUGGAGCGGCCCGCGUCUGAUUAGCUAGUUGGUGAGGUAACGGCCCACCAAGGCGACGAUCAGUAGCUGGUCUGAGAGGAUGAUCAGCCACACUGGGACUGAGACACGGCCCAGACUCCUACGGGAGGCAGCAGUGGGGAAUCUUGCGCAAUGGGCGAAAGCCUGACGCAGCCAUGCCGCGUGAAUGAUGAAGGUCUUAGGAUUGUAAAAUUCUUUCAGCGGGGACGAUAAUGACGGUACCCGCAGAAGAAGCUCCGGCUAACUUCGUG
Molecule: ribosomal RNA, 433 nt
Filed under: uncultured bacterium
Lineage: Bacteria
Description: partial 16S ribosomal RNA
Rfam family: Bacterial small subunit ribosomal RNA
Source: RNAcentral